RNAcentral lists this ribosomal RNA (253 nucleotides) under uncultured bacterium. RNAcentral describes it as "partial 16S ribosomal RNA". It matches the Rfam family "Bacterial small subunit ribosomal RNA", at positions 524 to 776 of the family's 1533-position model. The record is from RNAcentral.
UACAGAGGGUGCGAGCGUUAAUCGGAAUUACUGGGCGUAAAGCGUGCGUAGACGGUCAUGUAAGUCGGGUGUGAAAGCCCCGGGCUCAACCUGGGAAUUGCAUUCGAGACUGCAUCGCUUGGGUGCGGAAGAGGGAAGCGGAAUUUCCGGUGUAGCGGUGAAAUGCGUAGAUAUCAAGUGGAACACCAGUGGCGAAGGCGAGUCUCUGGACAUUUCCUGACGCUGAGGCACGAAAGCCAGGGGAGCAAACGGG